RNAcentral lists this non-coding RNA (100 nucleotides) under Paramoeba aestuarina. Lineage: Eukaryota; Discosea; Flabellinia; Dactylopodida; Paramoebidae. The record is from RNAcentral.
AUUAAGAAGGCAAAAGAAGCAAAACAAUGGGAAGAGCAAGAAAAGAAGAGAUUGGCUGAAGAAGAGAAACAAAGAAUUGAAAGAGAGAAACAGAAAGAGA